This 390-nucleotide long non-coding RNA is filed under the name Fukomys damarensis (Damara mole-rat). Its description in RNAcentral is "lncRNA (ENSFDAG00000028523.1)". The record is from RNAcentral. Lineage: Eukaryota; Metazoa; Chordata; Mammalia; Rodentia; Bathyergidae.
GGGUGCUAGGGAGUCUGUAGCUCUGACCAUCCGGCCUUCCAUGAAUUCAGGUGCAGUUGGUCCACUCCUUGGCAGCCACCAGGAUGCGUGCUGUUGAGCAUUCUGUGAGCCCAAAGAGCAACAGGCUACCUGUGAUGAAGAAGGUGGAGAUUCCCCAAGGGGAGACAAUGACUCCUCGGCAGCGGAAGUGGAUGCAUAGCCUCCCCAAUGAUUGGAUCACAGAAAACCCUGUUCUGUUCAGGGAAAAGGAGAAAGCCAGAUGGGAAAAGGCACAAGAGAGUGAGAGCCAGAUUGCUGCCCGAGAAGUGCGAGGCCUCAUGGACACCAUCGGUGAGCAUUGGACCAGCCUGGAGCAUAGGUCUGUACUGGGUAGGAGGGAGCCCCAGACAG